RNAcentral lists this transfer RNA (76 nucleotides) under Perkinsus olseni. RNAcentral describes it as "tRNA-Arg". It matches the Rfam family "tRNA". From Rfam's summary of the family: Transfer RNA (tRNA) molecules are approximately 80 nucleotides in length. Their secondary structure includes four short double-helical elements and three loops (D, anti-codon, and T loops). The record is from RNAcentral. Lineage: Eukaryota; Perkinsozoa; Perkinsida; Perkinsidae.
UGCUCGAUUAGUUCAGCUGGAUAGAAUGUCUGCCUACGGAUUAGAUGGUCGUAGGUUCGAAUCCUGCCUCGGGUAU